GACGAACGCUGGCGGCGUGCUUAACACAUGCAAGUCGAACGGAAAGGCCCUGCUUGCAGGGUACUCGAGUGGCGAACGGGUGAGUAACACGUGGGUGAUCUGCCCUGCACUUCGGGAUAAGCCUGGGAACUGGGUCUAAUACCGGAUAGGAGCCAUUUUUAGUGUGAUGGUUGGAAAGUUUUUUCGGUGUAGGAUGAGCUCGCGGCCUAUCAGCUUGUUGGUGGGGUAAUGGCCUACCAAGGCGGCGACGGGUAGCCGGCCUGAGAGGGUGGACGGCCACAUUGGGACUGAGAUACGGCCCAGACGCCUACGGGAGGCAGCAGUGGGGAAUAUUGCACAAUGGGCGCAAGCCUGAUGCAGCGACGCCGCGUGGGGGAUGACGGCCUUCGGGUUGUAAACUCCUUUCGCUAGGGACGAAGCUUUUUGUGACGGUACCUAGAUAAGAAGCACCGGCUAACUACGUG
Molecule: ribosomal RNA, 464 nt
Filed under: uncultured bacterium
Lineage: Bacteria
Description: partial 16S ribosomal RNA
Rfam family: Bacterial small subunit ribosomal RNA
Source: RNAcentral